RNAcentral lists this ribosomal RNA (1627 nucleotides) under Helicobacter pylori NQ4216. RNAcentral describes it as "bacterial LSU rRNA". It matches the Rfam family "Bacterial large subunit ribosomal RNA", at positions 1281 to 2925 of the family's 2925-position model. The record is from RNAcentral. Lineage: Bacteria; Pseudomonadati; Campylobacterota; Epsilonproteobacteria; Campylobacterales; Helicobacteraceae.
GUAUGAAGUGAGCAUGCAGGAAUGAGUAACGAUAAGAUAUAUGAGAAUUGUAUCCGCCGUAAAUCUAAGGUUUCCUACGCGAUGGUCGUCAUCGUAGGGUUAGUCGGGUCCUAAGCCGAGUCCGAAAGGGGUAGGUGAUGGCAAAUUGGUUAAUAUUCCAAUACCGACUAUGGAGCGUGAUGGGGGGACGCAUAGGGUUAAGCGAGCUAGCUGAUGGAAGCGCUAGUCUAAGGGCGUAGAUUGGAGGGAAGGCAAAUCCACCUCUGUAUUUGAAACCCAAACAGGCUCUUUGAGUCCUUUUAGGACAAAGGGAGAAUCGCUGAUACCGUCGUGCCAAGAAAAGCCUCUAAGCAUAUCCAUAGUCGUCCGUACCGCAAACCGACACAGGUAGAUGAGAUGAGUAUUCUAAGGCGCGUGAAAGAACUCUGGUUAAGGAACUCUGCAAACUAGCACCGUAAGUUCGCGAUAAGGUGUGCCACAGCGAUGUGGUCUCAGCAAAGAGUCCCUCCCGACUGUUUACCAAAAACACAGCACUUUGCCAACUCGUAAGAGGAAGUAUAAGGUGUGACGCCUGCCCGGUGCUCGAAGGUUAAGAGGAUGCGUCAGUCGCAAGAUGAAGCGUUGAAUUGAAGCCCGAGUAAACGGCGGCCGUAACUAUAACGGUCCUAAGGUAGCGAAAUUCCUUGUCGGUUAAAUACCGACCUGCAUGAAUGGCGUAACGAGAUGGGAGCUGUCUCAACCAGAGAUUCAGUGAAAUUGUAGUGGAGGUGAAAAUUCCUCCUACCCGCGGCAAGACGGAAAGACCCCGUGGACCUUUACUACAACUUAGCACUGCUAAUGGGAAUAUCAUGCGCAGGAUAGGUGGGAGGCUUUGAAGUAAGGGCUUUGGCUCUUAUGGAGCCAUCCUUGAGAUACCACCCUUGAUGUUUCUGUUAGCUAACUGGCCUGUGUUAUCCACAGGCAGGACAAUGCUUGGUGGGUAGUUUGACUGGGGCGGUCGCCUCCUAAAAAGUAACGGAGGCUUGCAAAGGUUGGCUCAUUGCGGUUGGAAAUCGCAAGUUGAGUGUAAUGGCACAAGCCAGCCUGACUGUAAGACAUACAAGUCAAGCAGAGACGAAAGUCGGUCAUAGUGAUCCGGUGGUUCUGUGUGGAAGGGCCAUCGCUCAAAGGAUAAAAGGUACCCCGGGGAUAACAGGCUGAUCUCCCCCAAGAGCUCACAUCGACGGGGAGGUUUGGCACCUCGAUGUCGGCUCAUCGCAUCCUGGGGCUGGAGCAGGUCCCAAGGGUAUGGCUGUUCGCCAUUUAAAGCGGUACGCGAGCUGGGUUCAGAACGUCGUGAGACAGUUCGGUCCCUAUCUGCCGUGGGCGUAGGAAAGUUGAGGAGAGCUGUCCCUAGUACGAGAGGACCGGGAUGGACGUGUCACUGGUGCACCAGUUGUUCUGCCAAGAGCAUCGCUGGGUAGCUACACACGGAUGUGAUAACUGCUGAAAGCAUCUAAGCAGGAAGCCAACUCCAAGAUGAACUUUCCCUGAAGCUCGCACAAAGACUAUGUGCUUGAUAGGGUAGAUGUGUGAGUGCAGUAAUGCGUUUAGCUGACUACUACUAAUAGAGCGUUUGGCUUGUUUU